RNAcentral lists this ribosomal RNA (301 nucleotides) under uncultured bacterium. RNAcentral describes it as "partial 16S ribosomal RNA". It matches the Rfam family "Bacterial small subunit ribosomal RNA", at positions 509 to 807 of the family's 1533-position model. The record is from RNAcentral.
CAGUCGCCACGGGAAUACGAAGGGGGCUAGCGUUGUUCGGAUUAACUGGGCGUAAAGGGCGCGUAGGCGGGCGAAUAAGUCAGGGGUGAAAUCCCAAGGCUCAACCUUGGAACUGCCUUUGAUACUGGGGAUCUUGAGUCCGGAAGAGGUGAGUGGAACUGCGAGUGUAGAGGUGAAGUUCGUAGAUAUUCGCAAGAACACCGGUGGCGAAGGCGGCUCACUGGUCCGGAACUGACGCUGAGGCACGACAGCGUGGGGAGCAAACAGGAUUAGAUACCCCCGUAGUCCCUGUCUCUUAUAC